UACGUAGGGCGCGAGCGUUGUCCGGAUUUAUUGGGCGUAAAGAGCUCGUAGGCGGCUUGUUGCGUCGUCCGUGAAAACCCGUGGCUUAACUGCGGGCUUGCGGUCGAUACGGGCGGGCUGGAGUUCGGUAGGGGAGACUGGAAUUCCUGGUGUAGCGGUGAAAUGCGCAGAUAUCAGGAGGAACACCGGUGGCGAAGGCGGGUCUCUGGGCCGAUACUGACGCUGAGGAGCGAAAGCGUGGGGAGCGAACAGG
RNAcentral lists this ribosomal RNA (253 nucleotides) under uncultured bacterium. Its description in RNAcentral is "partial 16S ribosomal RNA". It matches the Rfam family "Bacterial small subunit ribosomal RNA", at positions 524 to 776 of the family's 1533-position model. The record is from RNAcentral.